GACGAACGCGGCGGCGUGCCUAAUACAUGCAAGUAGAACGCUGAAGGAGGAGCUUGCUCUUCUGGAUGAGUUGCGAACGGGUGAGUAACGCGUAGGUAACCUGCCUGGUAGCGGGGGAUAACUAUUGGAAACGAUAGCUAAUACCGCAUAAUAGUAGAUGUUGCAUGACAUUUACUUAAAAGGUGCAAUUGCAUCACUACCAGAUGGACCUGCGUUGUAUUAGCUAGUUGGUGGGGUAACGGCUCACCAAGGCGACGAUACAUAGCCGACCUGAGAGGGUGAUCGGCCACACUGGGACUGAGACACGGCCCAGACUCCUACGGGAGGCAGCAGUAGGGAAUCUUCGGCAAUGGACGGAAGUCUGACCGAGCAACGCCGCGUGAGUGAAGAGGGUUUUCGGAUCGUAAAGCUCUGUUGUAAGAGAAGAAACGAGUGUGAGAGUGGAAAAGUUCACACUG
This 458-nucleotide ribosomal RNA is filed under the name Streptococcus sp. oral taxon 064. RNAcentral describes it as "bacterial SSU rRNA". It matches the Rfam family "Bacterial small subunit ribosomal RNA", at positions 28 to 471 of the family's 1533-position model. Lineage: Bacteria; Bacillati; Bacillota; Bacilli; Lactobacillales; Streptococcaceae. The record is from RNAcentral.